RNAcentral lists this ribosomal RNA (853 nucleotides) under Acidiella sp. (in: ascomycete fungi). Its description in RNAcentral is "Acidiella sp. (in: Fungi) partial 28S ribosomal RNA". It matches the Rfam family "Eukaryotic large subunit ribosomal RNA", at positions 40 to 922 of the family's 3401-position model. Lineage: Eukaryota; Fungi; Ascomycota; Dothideomycetes; Mycosphaerellales; Teratosphaeriaceae. The record is from RNAcentral.
AUAUCAAUAAGCGGAGGAAAAGAAACCAACAGGGAUUGCCCUAGUAACGGCGAGUGAAGCGGCAACAGCUCAAAUUUGAAAUCUGGCGCAAGCCCGAGUUGUAAUUUGCAGAGGAUGCUUCUGGGCAGCGGCCGGUCUAAGUUCCUUGGAACAGGACGUCAUAGAGGGUGAGAAUCCCGUAUGUGACCGGUUGGCACCCGCCACGUAGCUCCUUCGACGAGUCGAGUUGUUUGGGAAUGCAGCUCUAAAUGGGAGGUAAAUGCCUUCUAAAGCUAAAUACCGGCUGGAGACCGAUAGCGCACAAGUAGAGUGAUCGAAAGAUGAAAAGCACUUUGGAAAGAGAGUUAAAAAGCACGUGAAAUUGUUGAAAGGGAAGCGCAUGCAACCAGACUUGUCGGCGGUGUUCCGCCGGUCUUCUGACCGGUCUACUCGUCGCCGGCAGGCCAGCAUCGUCUGGGGGCGCCGGAUAAAGGCGCCGGGAAUGUAGCUCCCUCGGGAGUGUUAUAGCCCGGCGCGUAAUACGGCGCCUCCCGGGCGAGGUCCGCGCUUCGGCUAGGAUGCUGGCGUAAUGGUCGUCUGCGACCCGUCUUGAAACACGGACCAAGGAGUCUAACAUCUGUGCGAGUGUUCGGGUGUCAAACCCCUACGCGUAAUGAAAGUGAACGGAGGUGGGAACCGCAAGGUGCACCAUCGACCGAUCCUGAUGUCCUCGGAUGGAUUUGAGUAAGAGCAUAGCUGUUGGGACCCGAAAGAUGGUGAACUAUGCCUGAAUAGGGUGAAGCCAGAGGAAACUCUGGUGGAGGCUCGCAGCGGUUCUGACGUGCAAAUCGAUCGUCAAAAUUUGGGUAUAGGG